GAUGAACGCUGGCGGCGUGCUUAACACAUGCAAGUCGAACGGUGAAGGCGGAGCUUGCUCUGCUGGAUCAGUGGCGAACGGGUGAGUAACACGUGAGCAAUCUGCCCCUGACUCUGGGAUAAGCGCUGGAAACGGCGUCUAAUACUGGAUACGAGCUGCGAAGGCAUCUUCAGCAGCUGGAAAGAAUUUCGGUCAGGGAUGAGCUCGCGGCCUAUCAGCUUGUUGGUGAGGUAAUGGCUCACCAAGGCGUCGACGGGUAGCCGGCCUGAGAGGGUGACCGGCCACACUGGGACUGAGCAGCGGCCCAGACUCCUACGGGAGGCAGCAGUGGGAAUAUUGCACAAUGGGCGAAAGCCUGAUGCAGCAACGCCGCGUGGGGGACGACGGCCUUCGGGUUGUAAACCUCUUUUAGCAGGGAAGAAGCGAAAGUGACGGUACCUGCAGAAAAAGCGCCGGCUAACUACGUG
Molecule: ribosomal RNA, 467 nt
Filed under: uncultured bacterium
Lineage: Bacteria
Description: partial 16S ribosomal RNA
Rfam family: Bacterial small subunit ribosomal RNA
Source: RNAcentral